AAUCUGCCACCGCUGCCACCGAGCCGAGGGGCGCCAGCAAGGCAUCCCCUGGGUCAAGGGGCCUCCCGUGGGCUUUCCAAACAGCCUGUGCUCAUUUCCGCGGGAGCCCUCGGGGCGCUGUGCUGUGGCUGCAUUGUCACUGUUUGUUUAUUUCUACAUCUGCUCUGUUAGAAGAUAGGCUCGCUUAGGACAGAGCCUUCUAAUCCACCCCCUGAUGAAUUCGGGCCCUCGCCUUUGGCACAAUGCCUGGCGUCAUCACAACGCGGGUGAUCAGUAAACGGCAGCGAAGGAAGCGGGGUCAGGACUGGAGAGGAGAGGGGGAGGAAGACAGACGACCGGAGAGGAACAAAAAUGGAAGAACAAGUAAGAAUGGACAGAGGAAUACCAUGUGCUGACUGACGAACGCCUGGGUUUCUGAACCAAUUGCCAUCAAGGGGAUUGGGAUUACCAUAAUUUUUGCUGAGACUAAGCCCCACCCCAGUAACCAAAGGCAGUGUUUCAAGAACCCAGCUCCAUUCAUCCUAUGAUGCCACCAUCCUCAGCAUUUGACUUCCAUGGCUCCUGGCUUAGCACAGAGGCUGGCACCUGUUAGACCUAAGAAGGAUUGGCAACUCUGGACAAAUCAGAGAAGGAGCGUUGUCAACCCUUUUCUCCUGGUGAUGAUGAUGGUGAUGGUCAAUGUCCACUCCCAAAUAUCUAUAUUGGGAAGAGGUGGUUUGUAGGUCAUGGAAUCCCAAGUUGGAAUCUCCAUCAGCAGAUAACCACUAGUGAGGACGAUUAAGAAAGGCUCUUUUAAUCUACAUUGGACACAUAGCAAGAGGAAAAAUAAACUUUUCUUAUAUUAAGCCA
Molecule: long non-coding RNA, 849 nt
Filed under: Homo sapiens (human)
Lineage: Eukaryota; Metazoa; Chordata; Mammalia; Primates; Hominidae
Description: uncharacterized LOC105372524, transcript variant 3 (LOC105372524)
Source: RNAcentral